Phragmites australis (common reed) is the source of this 753-nucleotide long non-coding RNA. RefSeq lists it as uncharacterized. The record is from RefSeq and is a predicted model, not a curated record. Lineage: Eukaryota; Viridiplantae; Streptophyta; Magnoliopsida; Poales; Poaceae. The transcript has 2 exons.
GAUUACCUAGCUAAUAAUAAUCUACCCAUAGCUUAAAAUUGGUGGGGAGCACGAUGGUUGCGAUACGAGCUUAUCGUUAUGAAAUUAGAGAAAAAUAUGUAACAAUAAUGCACUGUCAAUGCUGUUUUCCAAAAAAAUUUUGCACUGUCAAUGGCUGUUGGAACAAUCUGACAAGGAGCAAGGGAUUAGGUAAGGUAGCGCUCUAGCCAGCCUUCUUGUUAUAUACCACACUAGAACUGGUGCAAGAACAAGACACGCCUCUUCUCCACCCUCUUUUCAGUAGAUCAUAACUUUCCUUUCUGUCGAGAGGAAGAGGCGGCAACGAUGGACGAACCAUCGCAGAGCGAGGACCGGAAGCUGUCGGCCAUGGAGCAUGUCAAGAAGCGCCAUGAGGAGAAGGGCUUCCUCUAUGCCUGCUUCUUCAUGCUGUGCUGCUGCUUCUGCUGCUACGAGGCCUGCGAGCACUGCCUCGAGUGCAUCUGCAGCUGCGGCAAGAAGGACGAGUGAGAUCAGAUCAACCAACUCGCUGCCGCGCCAUGAUCGAUUUGCUGUGGAUAUGUUUUCAGUUGUGAGUCGUGAUGAAUCUGGAAUUGUUCGUCGAAAUAAAACAUGCUGCAAUUCUUGGCUUUGCUGUGUAAAGUGUUAACUAUACGUUAACCCCAGUAGUGUCUGUGAGUGAGUUGAGUGAAGCAGCUGUGCUUGUGACUGUAAAUUUGUGACUGGUUUGCCUUGUCAGUGCACUAGUAUAUGUUA